GAUGAACGCUGGCGGCGUGCUUAACACAUGCAAGUCGAGCGAGUGAGUUCUUCGGAACGAUCUAGCGGCGGACGGGUGAGUAACACGUGGGCAACCUGCCUCAUAGAGGGGAAUAGCCUCCCGAAAGGGAGAUUAAUACCGCAUAAAAUUAUCGAGUGGCAUCACAUGAUAAUCAAAGGAGUAUUCCGCUAUGAGAUGGGCCCGCGGCGGAUUAGCUAGUUGGUGAGGUAACGGCUCACCAAGGCGACGAUGCGUAGCCGACCUGAGAGGGUGAUCGGCCACAUUGGGACGGAGACACGGCCCAGACUACUACGGGAGGCAGCAGUGGGGAAUAUUGCACAAUGGGGGAAACCCUGAUGCAGCAACGCCGCGUGAGUGAUGAAGGUCUUCGGAUUGUAAAGCUCUGUCUUUGGGGACGAUAAUGACGGUACCCAAGGAGGAAGCCACGGCUAACUACGUGCCAGCCGCCGCGGUAA
This 476-nucleotide ribosomal RNA is filed under the name uncultured bacterium. Its description in RNAcentral is "partial 16S ribosomal RNA". It matches the Rfam family "Bacterial small subunit ribosomal RNA", at positions 28 to 523 of the family's 1533-position model. The record is from RNAcentral.